Molecule: ribosomal RNA, 449 nt
Filed under: uncultured bacterium
Lineage: Bacteria
Description: partial 16S ribosomal RNA
Rfam family: Bacterial small subunit ribosomal RNA
Source: RNAcentral
AACGAACGCCGGCGGCAUGCCUAACACAUGCAAGUCGAACGAAGGCUUCGGCCUUAGUGGCGCACGGGUGCGUAACGCGUGGGAAUCUGCCCUUAGGUACGGAAUAACUCAGGGAAACUUGAGCUAAUACUGUAUAAUGACUUCGGUCCAAAGAUUUAUCGCCUGAGGAUGAGCCCGCGUCGGAUUAGCUAGUUGGUGAGGUAAAAGCUCACCAAGGCGACGAUCCGUAGCUGGUCUGAGAGGAUGAUCAGCCACACUGGGACUGAGACACGGCCCAGACGCCUGCGGGAGGCAGCAGUGGGGAAUAUUGGACAAUGGGCGAAAGCCUGAUCCAGCAAUGCCGCGUGAGUGAUGAAGGCCUUAGGGUUGUAAAGCUCUUUUACCCGGGAUGAUAAUGACAGUACCGGGAGAAUAAGCCCCGGCUAACUCCGUGCCAGCCGCCGCCGUAA